RNAcentral lists this long non-coding RNA (2242 nucleotides) under Sorghum bicolor (sorghum). RNAcentral describes it as "long non-coding RNA (SBIC_LNC012973)". The record is from RNAcentral. Lineage: Eukaryota; Viridiplantae; Streptophyta; Magnoliopsida; Poales; Poaceae.
AGACACUACCAUGCUUGAGUUUAACAAGAGUAGAUUUUGAUGAUUACUCCACUCUCUUAACCUCUAAAAUUCACAACCCAACCUUGUGCUUAAUUUAUUUCUGGAUUACUACCAAUCUUUUUCCUGGUUCUUCUGACUCUCUAAAAGAUGAUGAACUAAAAUUGCUCUAUGCCAAGGUACACAAGAUUGAAAUUUCCCCUGUUAAAUUGAUGAUAAGAUUUUAGCUACUACCCAUGACCCAACUUGGUCCCGUUGGUGUGUUGCCACCAGCAGACCCCUGCACUUGAUGUUUCCCAUGUCUUUGGAUUCUAGAAUGCUCAAGAAUCCAAGUGUGGGGGGGGUCAAGUGGCCCCCAACUAAGUCUUUGAAUUUCCGAAACACACCAUGACGUAUUGCAUGGUGAGGCAAGUUGGCUCGACAAAUUCCACCCUAAGUAGGGGGUCGGUCGACCCCCUCUUUGACGGCCAACGGGAACAGAAGCUUGCAGAGGUACAUCAUCAACAAUGGGAAUUCAAAUAGCAGCAAUAGGCAAGCCCAAGUGGGGUCAGCCGACCCCACCUUAGAGCCCUGGACCCACCAGUCAACAUCUACGUGCCUUUUGACUAGUUUGCCACUCCUACUCUCCCUCUAUUCUUUCAUUUUUAUUACUUCUAUCUCUUUUUUGCUUUAUUAGAUAAAAUAAAACAAAAAUAAAAACAAGAAGACUUGGAUCUAUGAUUUAUGACAUUAAAAGUGUGACAUUAUUCAUGACAUUAAAAGGGUAAAAGUGUCACAAAGUCUAAUUCUUGCAUAUCCUUAUACUUGUGGGUCACGUAUCUUGAUAGGAAUAUCAUAUUGACUUGGUUGUUGACAAUUGUGAUAUAGUUCUUAGCUCAUGAUUCAUACCCUUUCUAUUCAAAGUGCAUAGAGAUUUAUUUUUGAAAAUAUCCUAAAACCAUAGUGUCACUUACUCCUCAAUAGUAAGAGAAUUCCUACAACAGCCAUAUAUGUUCAUACCUUGUUCAAAACCCUUCUAUAUAUGCUACUUGUACUUGUGUUGAGUUUAGUCAAACCUUGUGACCCUAGUUGAGAAUUAUGUCAUAGUCCCAAGAUCAAGAUCACACACACACACCACAUAUAUGCUGCUUCUACAUUGGAAGUACGCAAAAACAUGCCAUCCAUUUCCACCAUAUAGAUGCUCCAUGUUUUAAGGUUUAGAAUAUCUCUCUCUAAGUAUUGGUUAUAAGAUGAGACACAAAGGCUAUUCUUAGUAAAAAAGUGGGCACAUGAAGGUCCAUUGCUUUUGAAAAAAAAAGAGAAAAGAAAAAAAAAAGCUAGCCAUGUCUCAAAUAAAAUAGAGAGAGAGAUAUCUUAUAAAAUAGAGGAGCAUUCUAUUCUAAUCAUUUUUUCACACACUUACACAUCUUGAUCUAGGAUUAUGACAUUCUUCUCCUUGGAUCCUUGUUUUGACUUUACAAUAGAUACAAUGCAAGUAUUUUCUAUCUUGUUUCCCCCUACCUGAGCCCCAUAAGCCUAAUAGAUGUAGGAUGAAACAAAAGAAGGCAAUCUUAUGCUAUGCCUUGGUGAGGAAUCCUAUACUUACUUAGUGACUUGAGAGUACUAUUAGAGGAGUAAGGAUGAACUAUGUGCUUUCUUCUAAAACAUUUAUCAAAAACUCUAAGUACUAAGGAUAUGAAAAUGGGAAGAUGACUUUGCUUUGAGAAUUGUUCCAUUUUUCAACAUCCUAAGGAUAUAUGUUAGACAGUGACACAUAACCCACUUGUAUGAGAUAUGUCUUGAGUAGUCUUUGUGUUUGCUUAUAUCUUAAAAGUGUCAUAAUCAUAGGUUGUCUUCCUCUAACCUUUGCUCGAGGACGAGCAAAGACUUAAGUGUGGGGGUUCUUGUUGACGGUAGAUAAGCCCUAUUUUUACCCCAUCAAAACCGUCAACAAUACAUUCUUUCUGGAAGAAAAUCACCAAACACAUAGUGACUUAGGUACAAAUAACUUGGUUCCACAUGUACAUGUCAUCAUUUGGACGUAGGUGUGCAAUCGACUACUUUUCAGGGUUAAGAAGCUCUAUAUGAAGGUUGGACUACCACCCCCAGAAUGGCCAAUUGGAAAACCAACUUCACAUUCAUCAAUCUCAGAGCUUCUGGAGACAAUGUGCAAAAGAUGGUCACAUUAGUGGGGUCGGCCGAACCCAUCUUUGUGGGCCUAGCACCACCACUGUGCUCAGAAUUUCACCAGGAAGUCACCUACAGA